AUUGAACGCUGGCGGCGUGCUUAACACAUGCAAGUCGAUCGGUAACGCGGGGGCAACCCUGGCGACGAGAGGCGGACGGGUGGGGAACGCUUGGGAAUCUGCCCUUCAGCGGGGGACAACCCGGGGAAACCCGGGCUAAUACCGCAUACGCUCCACGGAGGAAAGCCGGGGACCGCAAGUCCUGGCCCUGAAGGAUGAGCCCAAGUCGGAUUAGCUAGUUGGCGGGGUAACGGCCCACCAAGGCGCCGAUCCGUAGCUGGUCGGAGAGGACGAUCAGCCACACUGGGACUGAGACACGGCCCAGACGCCUACGGGAGGCAGCAGUGGGGAAUAUUGGACAAUGGGCGAAGGCCUGAUCCAGCGACGCCGCGUGGGUGAAGAAGGCCUGCGGGUUGUAAAGCCCUUUCGGUAGGGACGAAAGCCUCCGACCUAAUACGUCGGGGGGUUGACUUAACCUACAAAAGAAGCACCGGCUAACUCUGUGCCAGCAGCCGC
RNAcentral lists this ribosomal RNA (495 nucleotides) under uncultured bacterium. Its description in RNAcentral is "bacterial SSU rRNA". It matches the Rfam family "Bacterial small subunit ribosomal RNA", at positions 29 to 518 of the family's 1533-position model. The record is from RNAcentral.